RNAcentral lists this ribosomal RNA (253 nucleotides) under uncultured bacterium. RNAcentral's name for it is "partial 16S ribosomal RNA". It matches the Rfam family "Bacterial small subunit ribosomal RNA", at positions 524 to 776 of the family's 1533-position model. The record is from RNAcentral.
UACGUAGGGACCAAGCGUUGUUCGGAUUUACUGGGCGUAAAGGGCGCGUAGGCGGUAAUUCAAGUCAUCUGUGAAAUCUCCGAGCUUAACUCGGAACGGUCAGAUGAUACUGUUUUGCUAGAGUACAGAAGGGGCAAUCGGAAUUCUUGGUGUAGCGGUGAAAUGCGUAGAUAUCAAGAGGAACACCUGAGGUGAAGACGGGUUGCUGGGCUGAUACUGACGCUGAGGCGCGAAAGCUAGGGUAGCAAACGGG